GGAAAUGCUUAAAGAUCUUGUUAGUAGUGGGACUUCAGGCAUCUUAAGAGAAGACUGCUCAGCUCACAUACAUACAAGACCUAAGCAUCAAGCCAAGGCUGCAGGAUGGAGGACACCAAUCACGGGACCAUCUGCAAAAGCAAAACGGGGAGUGUCCGCUGGGGAAAUCUCUAAGAUGAAAGCCACUUUGUCACCUUCUUCCUUCCUGCUUGGGACGCACAUGUAAUGCUUGGCACUGCUCCCCCCAUCUUGUCACCAUGAGAUGACAGCCAAGAGGAGAAAAAGCCAAAACAGAGAGGAUGACAGUGAAGAAAGAGGAAAAGUGGUUAAACCUCACAUGACAUCAUGGAAACCUGAACAAAGGCACAGAACCACAGAUUUCCCAAUUCUUGCGAAGGAAGCAAUUCAUGUUCCUUCUGGGCGAAGCUGCUGCUGGUUGGGUAUUUAUCCUUCUAAAGCUGAAGCAUCCUGAGUAAUGCAGUGCAAAUCAGAAAUUGAAAUAAAUGAAGCACGUCUUGAGCAGUGUCAUGGCAAAGGAGUCUGGCUUGUAGAAUGUCUGUCUCUGGAAAUUUGGAGAGCUGGGAGCAGGAGAUGUGAUCGUGGUUCACAACUGCAGGUGAGGCUGGGGCAGCUCUCCCAGGCCUGAAGCAUAUGCAGGGUUUUCUCUCCUAAUAGCAGCAUCUUGACUUCCCUAUAUGCUUUUUGAAUUGGUUUUGCACAUUCUUCCCCCAAAUUCACAUUUUGACUGGUCAGGGAUAAACAAGUCAAUUCACAGAUUCAGGGAAGUUUUAGAGAAUGGAAGGGAAGGACACAUUUUCACUGGAAAUUAUCAAGCCAUUAUAUUUCCCAGAUGUUUACUGAAAACAAUGGCAUAAUUAUAGAUGCAAGAUCAGUUUUCGUUGUAUGUACUGUGUGUCCAAAAGAGACCAUAAAUUCAACAGUAGUGGAAGGGAACAUCCCAGGACACAGUAAAGCCAAAUCAACUGCACAGUCAUUUUCUCUACUAUCAAUGUGACUAGGUUGCAAUCCCAGAAAUGUUUUCAACUCCUGCAAUAUUUAUAGGGAUAUGGGAGCAGCUAUGUCCUUGUUUCUUUGAAAUCAAUAAGUAAAGAUCUGAGACGUUUAUACUACCUGAAGAAAUCGAGGUCUGUCACUAAAGUCAAUUCUUAGGGGUUUCCAUUCUCUCAUUUAGGGUAAAGUUCUAUGCUGUAGUAAAUGCGCCUCAAGAUACGUAAUGGUUAGAGCCCCAUAGAAGUUUAUUUUUCACUCAUUGAAAGUCAAAUCUGGUCAUUUUUGUUGAUGGGUGAGUAGAUCCACCAAGAACUAAUUCAAGAACCUAGGCUCUUUCCAUCCUGUGACUUCUCCAUCUUUAACAAGCAUCUUCUGAUUUGCAGCAACAAAGCGUGCAGGACUA
RNAcentral lists this long non-coding RNA (1414 nucleotides) under Pan troglodytes (chimpanzee). RNAcentral's name for it is "long non-coding RNA NONPTRT003714". The record is from RNAcentral. Lineage: Eukaryota; Metazoa; Chordata; Mammalia; Primates; Hominidae.